Molecule: long non-coding RNA, 374 nt
Filed under: Mytilus galloprovincialis (Mediterranean mussel)
Lineage: Eukaryota; Metazoa; Mollusca; Bivalvia; Mytilida; Mytilidae
Source: RNAcentral
GACAUAAUGAAUAACUGACCAAAGAUUAUGAAACUUAUUUUAAAAAAGGUGAAGUGGUAUGAGUGUAAAUGAGACAACUAUCCACCAAAGUUCAAAUAAAGUGGAGGUAGGAAAUUACAGCCUUCAAACAAUGAUAGAAACUCCUAAUUUAUAGCAAAACAAUUAAAGAAAAAAAAAUAUGACAGACAUGAACCAACAAAAACCAUUAUACUACAGGAUCCUGACUUGGUACAAGCACAUAUAAAGAAUGAGGAGGGGUUAAACAUGUUUGGGGGCACACAAUACUGUAAAUUCAGAAGUUAUUGUGUCAAGAAAUCUGAAUUGGGUGGCCAGUUUUUUGUCGAGACAAUAAUGAUAGUAAACAAACAGAGAAC